This 419-nucleotide unclassified non-coding RNA is filed under the name fungal sp. RNAcentral describes it as "partial internal transcribed spacer region". The stretch from base 1 to 46 matches the Rfam family "Eukaryotic small subunit ribosomal RNA", at positions 1786 to 1831 of the family's 1831-position model. Lineage: Eukaryota; Fungi. The record is from RNAcentral.
AAGUCGUAACAAGGUUUCCGUAGGUGAACCUGCGGAAGGAUCAUCAAUAGUUCCAUAAAAACAUACCUUCUUGAGCACUGUAGUUGAUGUGAUGAGCAUCCAUGAUAUAUAUAUAUAUAUUAUGUGUAUAUAAUCUAUGGCGUUUGGUGUUUAUAAGAGUGUAGUAGUGGUGGUGAUAGUAGUAAUAUUAUCGUCAUCAUCAUUUUCUCUUGUAGACAUUUAAAGCCAACGCCAUUUAUUUGUGUAUAUAUAUAUAUAUAUAUAUUUAUGUUUGCUCUUUGUUAUCAUAUAUAUAUAAACUCUAAUAAUUUAACUAGUCUGAUAAUUACAUAUGUGUGUACAUAGUUAUAGUUAUAUAUAACUUGUCACCAUAAAAAUUUAAUGCAAUACAACUUGCAGCGAUGGAUCUCUAGGCUCUG